RNAcentral lists this ribosomal RNA (479 nucleotides) under uncultured bacterium. Its description in RNAcentral is "bacterial SSU rRNA". It matches the Rfam family "Bacterial small subunit ribosomal RNA", at positions 28 to 517 of the family's 1533-position model. The record is from RNAcentral.
GACGAACGCUGGCGGCGUGCUUAACACAUGCAAGUCGAGCGGGAUCCAACCGGUGGCAACACCGGGGAAGAUCUAGCGGCGAACGGGUGAGUAACACGUGAGCAACCUGCCCCGAAGACUGGGAUAACACCGGGAAACCGGUGCUAAUACCGGAUGUCGUCAUUAGGCCGCAUGACCUGAUGAUGAAAGGAUUCAUCGCUUCGGGAGGGGCUCGCGGGCUAUCAGCUUGNGGUGGGGUAACGGCCUACCAAGGCGACGACGGCUAGCUGGUCUGAGAGGACGACCAGCCACACUGGGACUGAGACACGGCCCAGACUCCUACGGGAGGCAGCAGUGGGGAAUCUUGCGCAAUGGGCGAAAGCCUGACGCAGCAACGCCGCGUGGGGGAUGAAUGCCUUCGGGUUGUAAACCCCUUUCAGCAGGGACGAAAUUGACGGUACCUGCAGAAGAAGCCCCGGCCAACUACGUGCCAGCAGCCG